RNAcentral lists this ribosomal RNA (253 nucleotides) under uncultured bacterium. Its description in RNAcentral is "partial 16S ribosomal RNA". It matches the Rfam family "Bacterial small subunit ribosomal RNA", at positions 524 to 776 of the family's 1533-position model. The record is from RNAcentral.
UACAGAGGUCUCGAGCGUUGUUCGGAUUCAUUGGGCGUAAAGGGUGCGUAGGUGGCACUGUAAGUCGGGUGUGAAAUCCUGAGGCUUAACCUCGGAACUGCAUUCGAUACUGCGGUGCUUGAGGACUGGAGAGGAGACUGGAAUUCCUGGUGUAGCGGUGAAAUGCGCAGAUAUCAGGAGGAACACCGGUGGCGAAGGCGGGUCUCUGGGCCGAAACUGACGCUGAGGAGCGAAAGCGUGGGGAGCAAACAGG